Molecule: long non-coding RNA, 252 nt
Organism: Mastomys coucha (southern multimammate mouse)
Lineage: Eukaryota; Metazoa; Chordata; Mammalia; Rodentia; Muridae
Exons: 3
Source: RefSeq, a predicted model, not a curated record
AGCAGAAAGAUGGCAAUUUAAUUACUAUAUCAGACAGAAGAGAAUGGAGGCCGGCUUGUGUGUUUUAUCCACCCAUUUUUCCCCUGGGGAUGCCCACAUUUAACAAGAGAGAUGUUAUGAUGUCUCUCUUCACUCUGAGUUCAAAAGACCAGGAACUGGCCCCCUCUGAAACCAUGAGCCAAGCUAUGUUGCUUUAGCAAACUAAGGAAUUGUUAGCAGCCCAGGAAGGGAUGCAAAUUUGUGCUCUUAUUU